AGUGAACGCUGGCGGUAGGCCUAACACAUGCAAGUCGAACGGCAGCACAGUAAGAGCUUGCUCUUACGGGUGGCGAGUGGCGGACGGGUGAGGAAUACAUCGGAAUCUACUUUUUCGUGGGGGAUAACGUAGGGAAACUUACGCUAAUACCGCAUACGACCUACGGGUGAAAGCAGGGGAUCUUCGGACCUUGCGCGACUGAAUGAGCCGAUGUCGGAUUAGCUAGUUGGCGGGGUAAAGGCCCACCAAGGCGACGAUCCGUAGCUGGUCUGAGAGGAUGAUCAGCCACACUGGAACUGAGACACGGUCCAGACUCCUACGGGAGGCAGCAGUGGGGAAUAUUGGACAAUGGGCGCAAGCCUGAUCCAGCCAUACCGCGUGGGUGAAGGAGGCCUUCGGGUUGUAAAGCCCUUUUGUUGGGAAAGAAAAGCAGCAGGUUAAUACCCCGCUGUUCUGACGGUACCCAAAGAAUAAGCACCGGCUAACUUCGUG
Molecule: ribosomal RNA, 492 nt
Filed under: uncultured bacterium
Lineage: Bacteria
Description: partial 16S ribosomal RNA
Rfam family: Bacterial small subunit ribosomal RNA
Source: RNAcentral